GCUGUUGGUUGCUUUACUUAAAGGUGCAGUUCAUGCUCCAAUGGAAGGAUUGUAUCUGGCGGGGCUUCCUCUAGUGCAGCAGUACCUGUUUCAAUUUGAUAACCUUGUGAGAGAGCAGCUGCCUAAGCUUGGAGAGCAUUUUACACGGGAGAUGAUAAAUCCUAGCAUGUAUGCGAGCCAAUGGUUUAUUACCGUUUUCUCUUACUCAUUUCCCUUCCAUUUGGC
Molecule: unclassified non-coding RNA, 225 nt
Filed under: Hevea brasiliensis (rubber tree)
Lineage: Eukaryota; Viridiplantae; Streptophyta; Magnoliopsida; Malpighiales; Euphorbiaceae
Source: RNAcentral